CCCAGACUCCUACGGGAGGCAGCAGUGGGGAAUAUUGGGCAAUGGGCGCAAGCCUGACCCAGCAACGCCGCGUGAAGGAAGAAGGCUUUCGGGUUGUAAACUUCUUUUGUCAGGGACGAAGCAAGUGACGGUACCUGACGAAUAAGCCACGGCUAACUACGUGCCAGCAGCCGCGGUAAUACGUAGGUGGCAAGCGUUAUCCGGAUUUAUUGGGUGUAAAGGGCGUGUAGGCGGGAAUGCAAGUCAGAUGUGAAAACUAUGGGCUCAACCCAUAGCCUGCAUUUGAAACUGUAUUUCUUGAGUGCUGGAGAGGCAAUCGGAAUUCCGUGUGUAGCGGUGAAAUGCGUAGAUAUACGGAGGAACACCAGUGGCGAAGGCGGAUUGUUGGACAGUAACUGACGCUGAGGCGCGAAAGCGUGGGGAGCAAACAGGAUUAGAUACCCCCGUAGCC
Molecule: ribosomal RNA, 451 nt
Filed under: uncultured bacterium
Lineage: Bacteria
Description: bacterial SSU rRNA
Rfam family: Bacterial small subunit ribosomal RNA
Source: RNAcentral